AAGCAUUGUAACAAAGUCCACCCAUUUGGGACUUUAUUAAACCAUUUACUAACAAUACUGUAAAAUAUUCAAAAUUUCUCAACUAUUCUACUAAAAUCAGCUUAGAAAUAUAAUUCAACUAAAUAUACUAUUGAUUUAACACAUUCAACUCGUCUUCUAUAAAACAAGAAUACAUGAAUGUCAUGAGAUGCGUGAAUGCAUCAAGUAAAUUGAUCAGUCCACUUAUUUGAGUUGCAUUCCAUCAACCUGCAUUUCCUCUCAUUUUGCAAAAAAUUAUUGUUAACGGUGAGAAUUAAUCUCUCAACCUCUUUCUCAACCAAGAGUGUCUCUACCAAUUAAGUUAUUGACUUGUUUUUAUUCUUAAAUAAAAAUGUAAAUUUUUAACUACUAAUUUUUGUUUUAAGGGUAUAAAAAUUUAGGGUCAUUACAGUUUUAAAAGAAGAAUGGCUGACUGUCCAUAUUCAUUCCACGUGUGGUGCUAUCCUGAUUAGUGGAUCAACAAGAUUGUUGCAUUAGUUGGCCCUACCUGACGCUGAGUUCGGAUCUCUCACCCAUCCGUCAUGAUGGCAUGCACCACAGAAUUUACAUCUCAGAGGGCAUUUGGGCUUGCUGGCGAUGCCUAUCGUAGCGAACCACAUAAGGAAAACUACAGCAACAAGGACAAACAGAAGCAAGAAAGACCACAGAAAAACAAACAUCGGGGGCAUCGAACGUGUAUUGAAAUUGUUAAACGGGGAGUGUUCAAACUAUUUUCCACGUAACGUUAGCAAAACUCCAUCUUACAGCCUCAUUGUGUAUAUGCAAUAGCCAAACAUGAAGAAAAUAUUAGUUUUACUUUUGGUCAGCUGCAAAUGCGGUGAGGACUACUUGAUGACUGACUGAUUUCACAUGCAGUGGACAAUCUUAAGAAUUAUUCGGAUCACACAUGGCAUGUGUGACUGGGUAAUUUGAUGAACGGUUCUGAUCUCACACUAGCAAGCAUCAGUGCAACCGCACAUUGCAGACAAGGGUUAAACGGGUCAAUCUCAACAAGAGGAGCCGUGCGCGGACCAUAUCCAAAACAUUAAUGUGUUGGGUAUGAACGGGGGUCCAAGUCCCAAUAGGUAGUUUGCUUUGGGUUCCUGUCUUAGGCAUCUGUUGCAUAUUUUUCUUUUAAUCUGAUAGGGACUUCAAAUCGGAUAUGUGGUUAAUCGAUACGGAUGGGCCAUUGGGUCCAGCCACCCUCCCCUCACCAGGCGGACUAUGAUUGUGUAGUGUUGAACACAGUGCCGGUACUAGGUUGACGUGGCUAAGUUUUAUGGGACCCACUAUGAUGUAUGUGUUAUGUCCA
Long non-coding RNA from Magnolia sinica, 1330 nucleotides. RefSeq lists it as uncharacterized. The transcript has 2 exons. Lineage: Eukaryota; Viridiplantae; Streptophyta; Magnoliopsida; Magnoliales; Magnoliaceae. The record is from RefSeq and is a predicted model, not a curated record.